RNAcentral lists this ribosomal RNA (497 nucleotides) under uncultured bacterium. RNAcentral's name for it is "partial 16S ribosomal RNA". It matches the Rfam family "Bacterial small subunit ribosomal RNA", at positions 28 to 507 of the family's 1533-position model. The record is from RNAcentral.
GAUGAACGCUGGCGGCGUGCCUAAUACAUGCAAGUCGAGCGAACAGACGCGGCGCUUGCUCGUCUGACGUUAGCGGCGGACGGGUGAGUAACACGUGGAUACCCUCCCUAUCAGACUGGUAUAACUUCGGGAAACGGGAGCUAAUCCCGUAUAAUAUCUUGAAGCGCGGUGUUCAAUGGUGAGAGACGGUUUUUCUGUCAGUUCUCGAUGCUUCCGCGCCGCAUUAGCUAGUUGGUAAGGUAACGGCUUACCAAGGCGACGAUGCGUGGCCGGCCUGACAGAGGGAUCGGCGACACGAGAGCGGGGACACCGACAAGAGUACUGAGGGAGGCAGCAGUCGGGAAUGGGCGGCAAUGGGCGAGAGCAUUGCGGAACAACGGCGCGUGAGUUACGAAGGUCUUCGGAUCGUAAAGCUCUGUUAUGAGGGAAGAACAAAUGUGUAAGGAACCAUGCACGUAUUGACGGUACCGAAUCAGAAAGCCACGGCUAACUACGUG